AGAGUUUGAUCAUGGCUCAGAACGUACGCUGGCGGCACGCCUAACACAUGCAAGUCGAACGAAGUAGCAAUACUUAGUGGCAGACGGGUGAGUAACAUGUAGGUAUCUGCCCUUUGGCCUGGAAUAACACGAGGAAACUUGUGCUAAUACCGGAUAAGUCUUUACAGAGAAAGCUUUAUGCACCAUUGGAUGAGCCUGCACUUGAUUAGUUUGUUGGUGGGGUAAUGGCCUACCAAGACUGUGAUCAAUAGCUGAUUUGAGAGGAUGAUCAGCCACAUUGGGACUGAGACACGGCCCAAACUCCUACGGGAGGCAGCAGUGGGGAAUCUUGCACAAUGGAGGAAACUCUGAUGCAGCGAUGCCGCGUGAGUGAAGAAGGCCCUUGGGUUGUAAAGCUCUUUCGUCGGGGAAGAAAAUGACUGUACCCGAAUAAGAAGGUCCGGCUAACUUCGUGCCAGCAGCCGCGGUAAUACGAAGGGACCUAGCGUAGUUCGGAAUUACUGGGCUUAAAGAGUUCGUAGGUGGUUGAAAAAGUUAGUGGUGAAAUCCCAGAGCUUAACUCUGGAACUGCCAUUAAAACUUUUCAGCUAGAGUAUGAUAGAGGAAAGCAGAAUUUCUAGUGUAGAGGUGAAAUUCGUAGAUAUUAGAAAGAAUACCAAUUGCGAAGGCAGCUUUCUGGAUCAUUACUGACACUGAGGAACGAAAGCAUGGGUAGCGAAGAGGAUUAGAUACCCUCGUAGUCCAUGCCGUAAACGAUGUGUGUUAGACGUUGGAAAUUUAUUUUCAGUGUCGCAGGGAAACCGAUAAACACACCGCCUGGGGAGUACGACCGCAAGGUUAAAACUCAAAUGAAUUGACGGGGACCCGCACAAGUAGUGGAGCAUGUGGUUUAAUUCGAAGAUACGCGCAGAACCUUACCAACACUUGACAUGUUCGUCGCGACUCUAAGAGAUUAGAGUUUUCGGUUCGGCCGGACGAAACACAGGUGCUGCAUGGCUGUCGUCAGCUCGUGUCGUGAGAUGUUGGGUUAAGUCCCGCAACGAGCGCAACCCUCACUUUUAGUUGCCAUCAUUAAGUUGGGCACUCUGAAAGAACUGCCAGUGAUAAGCUGGAGGAAGGUGGGGAUGACGUCAAGUCCUCAUGGCCCUUACGUGUUGGGCUACACACGUGCUACAAUGGUAUCUACAACAGGAAGCAAGACUGCGAAGUUAAGCAAAUCCCUAAAAGAUACCUCAGUUCGGAUUGCACUCUGCAACUCGAGUGCAUGAAGCUGGAAUUACUAGUAAUCGUGGAUCAGCGUGCCACGGUGAAUGCGUUCCCGGGUCUUGUACACACCGCCCGUCACACCAUGGGAGUUGGUUCUACCUUAAGGCAAGGUUUAAAACCCUUGACCACGGUAUAGUCAGCGACUGGGGUGAAGUCGUAACAAGGUA
Molecule: ribosomal RNA, 1433 nt
Filed under: uncultured Alphaproteobacteria bacterium
Lineage: Bacteria; Pseudomonadati; Pseudomonadota; Alphaproteobacteria
Description: uncultured alpha proteobacterium 16S ribosomal RNA
Rfam family: Bacterial small subunit ribosomal RNA
Source: RNAcentral